AACGAACGCUGGCGGCAUGCCUAACACAUGCAAGUCGAACGAGACCUUCGUGUCUGGUUGCUCAUGGGUGCGUAACGCGUCGGAAUCUGCCCUUGGGCUCGGAAUACCAGUUAGACAUUACUGCUAAUACCGGAUGAUGUCUUCUGACCAAAGAUUCAUCGCCCAGGGAUGAGCCCGCGUAGGUUUAGCUAGUCGGUGGGGUAAUAGCCUAUCACGGCGACGCUCCUUAGCUGGGCUGAGAGGAUGGGCAGCCACACUGGGUGGCUGCCACGGUCCGGACUCCUGCGGGAGGCGGGAGUGGGGGAUAUUGGCAAACGGGCGCAAGCCUGAUCCAGCUAGGCCGGGUGAGUGAUGAAGUCCUUAGGGAUGUAAAGCUCUUUUACCCGGGAUGAUAAUGACGGUACCGAGAGAAUAAGCACCGGCUAACUCCGUG
Molecule: ribosomal RNA, 433 nt
Filed under: uncultured bacterium
Lineage: Bacteria
Description: partial 16S ribosomal RNA
Rfam family: Bacterial small subunit ribosomal RNA
Source: RNAcentral